GAUCAGUCACACCGGAACUGAGACACGGUCCGGAUUCCUACGGGAGGCAGCAGUGGGGAAUAUUGGACAAUGGGGGCAACCCUGAUCCAGCCAUGCCGCGUGUGUGAAGAAGGCCUUUUGGUUGUAAAGCACUUUAAGCAGGGAGGAGAGGCUAAUGGUUAAUACCCAUUAGAUUAGACGUUACCUGCAGAAUAAGCACCGGCUAACUUUGUGCCAGCAGCCGCGGUAAUACAGAGGGUGCGAGCGUUAAUCGGAAUUACUGGGCGUAAAGCGAGUGUAGGUGGCUCAUUAAGUCACAUGUGAAAUCCCCGGGCUUAACCUGGGAACUGCAUGUGAUACUGGUGGUGCUAGAAUAUGUGAGAGGGAAGUAGAAUUCCAGGUGUAGCGGUGAAAUGCGUAGAGAUCUGGAGGAAUACCGAUGGCGAAGGCAGCUUCCUGGCAUAAUAUUGACACUGAGAUUCGAAAGCGUGGGUAGCAAACAGGAUUAGAUACCCUGGUAGUCCACGCCGUAAACGAUGUCUACUAGCCGUUGGGGUCCUUGAGACUUUAGUGGCGCAGUUAACGCGAUAAGUAGACCGCCUGGGGAGUACGGCCGCAAGGUUAAAACUCAAAUGAAUUGACGGGGGCCCGCACAAGCGGUGGAGCAUGUGGUUUAAUUCGAUGCAACGCGAAGAACCUUACCUGGUCUUGACAUAGUGAGAAUCCUGCAGAGAUGCGGGAGUGCCUUCGGGAAUUCACAUACAGGUGCUGCAUGGCUGUCGUCAGCUCGUGUCGUGAGAUGUUGGGUUAAGUCCCGCAACGAGCGCAACCCUUUUCCUUAUUUGCCAGCGGGUUAAGCCGGGAACUUUAAGGAUACUGCCAGUGACAAACUGGAGGAAGGCGGGGACGACGUCAAGUCAUCAUGGCCCUUACGACCAGGGCUACACACGUGCUACAAUGGUAGGUACAGAGGGUUGCUACACAGCGAUGUGAUGCUAAUCUCAAAAAGCCUAUCGUAGUCCGGAUUGGAGUCUGCAACUCGACUCCAUGAAGUCGGAAUCGCUAGUAAUCGCAGAUCAGAAUGCUGCGGUGAAUACGUUCCCGGGCCUUGUACACACCGCCCGUCACACCAUGGGAGUCUAUUGCACCAGAAGUAGGUAGCCUAACGUAAGAGGGCGCU
Molecule: ribosomal RNA, 1159 nt
Filed under: Faucicola osloensis
Lineage: Bacteria; Pseudomonadati; Pseudomonadota; Gammaproteobacteria; Moraxellales; Moraxellaceae
Description: bacterial SSU rRNA
Rfam family: Bacterial small subunit ribosomal RNA
Source: RNAcentral